UUGGGAACAGUGAAGACUUAGCAUUGGAAGUUGGAAGGAACAUUCUUUGAGCAAACGUUGAGGAGCAAGCUAAGGGAAACUGGAAUGUUAAGGUUGAUGCCUAAGAUGUUAGCUUUGAUAGCGGUGCAAAGGCAAACAGCAGCUUCGAGAUCGACGAGGCCAUUAAGAAGCGAACAGCAUGGCAUCACUGGGGGUGAACCAGCAGUGGCAUUGACUAAGCCAAGCACAUUAGCACAUACACCUAAUUUAAGGGCAUCUCUAGGGCAUUUGCCUUGUGAAGAUGGAGUGGGGGUGGGGUUGGGGUUUGGCUUUGGUUUAGGGGUGGGUGAAUAGCAAGAACCACAAGCACUGACCAGGGAAAAGAAGAGAAUGUUGAGUGCCAAAAAGAGGGCCAUGGAAGCUGAUCUUUUUGAUGCCAUUUUUGAUCUUCUCUUAAAACCCUAGUGAACUUGCUUUCUUGGCUUAGAGUUAAAAGUGCAAGUGUUUUGGGGGUGGGGAACUUGGAGUGAAGGGGAUGGGGGUUUUAUGGUGUUUAAAACAAGGCUAGUCGGUUGUUUUUUUUAUUAAUGUUGGGUUAAUUGAUGAAUAAAAUCAAAAUUUGAGGUGGCUGGUGAGAUUUGGAUGAUUGUGAUAUUUGAGGUGGAAAUUAGCACAUUGCCAUGUUACCAUUGCUCCUAUAAGAUCAACAUGUGGAUCUGGCUUAAACAUAGAAUAAUAUGAUUUGCAACAGUGAUCAUCAACAGUGGAGAUGGCAGCGUUGUUUGAAGCUUUUUGUGUUUGCAAAUUAAUUAUAAUCGAAAAACGUGUUCACGGGUUUGAAUUUGAAUUUGGGGCUUAAGAGACACUUACCUCUCCUGAGAUUCACAUAGAAUGGAUGGAUGUAAAGAAGGCAUGGUAUGAAGUUGUAAUUUUAUGGGAUUGUAUGAAAUUAUGAUUCCAUGUUAUCCCUAUUUCUUUAUAACAAGAGAAUGACAAAUCAGAUUUUUCUUCCUGAUUUUUAGUUUCAUACAAUCCUUUCUCAUGGAUGUAUUAUCGAUUUUCUCUCUCAAAAUAUAGGUUUAAGUUAUUUACAUAUAUAAAAUACAACAUCAUUUAUAUUAAAAUAUUUAUCAAAUUUUAAUUUUUAGGUAUCAAUAAAAUAAUGGGAUGUGAUUUGAUUUUGUAGACUCAUUCAUAUCUUAUCUUUAAUUAAAUUAUUUUUAAAAAAUGGAUAAUUAAAAAUAAAAAAUAAAAAUAAAAACUUUGGGUUGUACAAAAAUAUUUCCCAUUAAUGAAGUGUUAAACUUUCCCAUUUAACCAACGGGGUCAUAGCCAAAAAUAUUUUUUAGGGAUCAAGAUAAAAUUAUAAAGUUUUAGAGGGUCAAUUGGUAAAAGAUAAAAAAAUUAAAUUAAAUUAAAAUAGUUUCAGAGGGGCUAAAAAGAAAAUUUUUUCAUUAGUCAAAGGGCGAAAAAGGUUUUAAUUGAAUAAUUGAUUAAUGAGACUAAAAUUGAAAUUAUCCCAAUCAACCAAAAAAAGCAAGGAUAUGCCUGCCCAUAUUUUUUUUCAAUAGUCGAAUGGCUAAAAAGGUAUAAUUAAUUAAAAGGAGAGGCUAAAAUUGAAAUUAUCCCAAUUAACCAAAGAGGAAGGCUAUGCCUGCCCUUGGCUUCUUCUUCUUCUUUUUUUUUCUUUCCUGAAUGCUUCGCCCAUUUGUAUUAUUUAUGUAUUCUGUAAUGUUAUAAUGCUGUAAAUUUGAACUUUCCCGAGAAUAUAUAUAUAUAUAUAUAUAUACUAAUAUUCAACAAGUUCAGAGGAUAACCAUCAUCAAUAUGUUGAAUUAUCGUGAUAAUGCUGUUUAGUGGAAAUCAAAAUGUUAAGCAAUUCCAAGGAAUCUUUUGCCUUUAUCAGCAUUGAAAUCAGCUUUAUUUUUAUUUUUUAUUUUUAGAUUUUAAUGUGAUACCGUGUUAAAAGUACUAUGGAGGUCUUUAUAUCAAGAGUUGAAUUGCAUUUUACAUCUCUACUAAAAGAGUAAAUUAGUCCCUGUAUGUUUGAUCAAAGAAUCAAAUUGGUCAUUCUAUUAAAAAUUUCAUUCAUUUCUACUGUUAAAAAUUUGUCCAUAUAUGUCUGGUUAUUUUGUUAACCACACUAAUUUUUAACAAUAAAAGUGGAUUAAAUUUUUAACAGAAAAGAUCAAUUUAUUGUUUGAUAUUGUAACGUAUAAAAACUAAUUUAUUUAUUAUUGAGUAAAUAAUGACAAAAUACAAUUUAAGUAGUUGUAAAUGCAUUUCAGCUUAUAUUGUAUUUAUUACAAUUGCGACUGUAAUAGAUUUUAUACUUCAAUCAUUAGAGGUAAAUAUCAAUUAUGGAUAUUUAUGAUAAAUCAUUAAAUCAUUAGAGGUAAACUAAGCAAAGGGUUAGUGAAGCAAAACAUUAAAUCAUAUAAUUUCGUUAAUUUUCUUUUCCUUUGAUCCAAACAUAGUGUUAAUUACCAUUAUUAUUUAAAUUUCUACUCUCCUCAAGAUUUGAGAAAUGUAAUUAAGAAUAAGAUACAUUUUGGACGUUGAAAAAAAUGAUUUAAUUACGGUACAAAUAUGAAAUGGGGCUCAUAUUAAUAAAUUGAUAAAUAAACAAGGGAAUAAAUUAACGAGCUAAAUAAUACAAGUCUUUCCAUGUUCUUUGGAGUUAUAAAAAAACUUCAAACAACACUUGAAGAAAAGUAUUAAACUUAUUCUAUAUCUAUCCCCCACGAAGAAAUUAAAAUUACAAAUGAAAACACAUUAAAACAAUGAAGUUAUGGCAUCAUAACUUUAAAAAAAACCAAACACAAACCAUAAAGAAGUUGAGAAAGAAUGUAGGGGAAAAUCAAGACUUAAAUUAGCAUUGGAAGCCAGAAGGAACUUUCUUUGAGCAAACAUUGAGGAGCAAGCUAAGAGAAACUGGAAUGUCAAGGUUGAUGCCUAAGAUGUUAGCUUUGAUAGCGGUGCAAAGGCAAACAGCAGCUUCAAGAUCGACGAGGCCAUCGAGAAGGGAACAGCAUGGCAUCACUGGGGGUGAACCAAUGACGGGCUUGACUAGGCCAAGCACAUUAGCACAUACACCUAAUUUAAGGGCAU
This 3090-nucleotide long non-coding RNA is filed under the name Gossypium raimondii (Peruvian cotton). RNAcentral's name for it is "long non-coding RNA (GRAI_LNC005069)". The record is from RNAcentral. Lineage: Eukaryota; Viridiplantae; Streptophyta; Magnoliopsida; Malvales; Malvaceae.